AAAAUUAAUUCUGCAAGUAUUCAAUGGCAAUUCAUUUCCAUGUCUCUUGACACUUAUUAAAUUUUGUCUAUUUUUAAUAAUUUCAAAAGGAGUAAGUUCUAUAAUUGGGAUUCAAUACAAUGAGACUUUUCAUAUGGAAUGGUCUGUAUGGUAAACAAUCAAAUUUUGCCCAUAUUUGGUCUUCUUAACUAGGAGAUCACCAACUAAAUUGAAAUUGUCUUGCCCAAAAUAUUUCAAAAUAAAUCAUUAUUAAAAAUCAUCUAGAUCUUAAGAACAAAACUUAUUUGACAUAUAUAACAAUUAGAAUGAAUUAUACACAAUAUCAUAUUAAACUUAUUAAAUUCUACAAGCUCAUAACAAUCACCAAUUUUAUAUAAAUACUCCUUUUCCAAAGGUAUUUUCACAAACCAUGUUAACUCGUUGACAUUACACAUAUAUAUUUAUAAUGUUGAAAUUUCUGAAGGUUGUUUGCUUGUUUCAUUCCAUGGAA
This 490-nucleotide long non-coding RNA is filed under the name Mytilus galloprovincialis (Mediterranean mussel). The record is from RNAcentral. Lineage: Eukaryota; Metazoa; Mollusca; Bivalvia; Mytilida; Mytilidae.